UACGUAGGGUGCAAGCGUUAAUCGGAAUUACUGGGCGUAAAGCGUGCGCCGGCGGCUAUGCAAGACAGAUGUGAAAUCCCCGGGCUCAACCUGGGAAUGGCAUUUGUGACUGGAAGGCUAGAGUGUGUCAGAGGGGGGUAGAAUUCCACGUGUAGCAGUGAAAUGCGUAGAGAUGUGGAGGAAUACCGAUGGCGAAGGCAGCCCCCUGGGAUAACACUGACGCUCAUGCACGAAAGCGUGGGGAGCAAACAGG
This 253-nucleotide ribosomal RNA is filed under the name uncultured bacterium. RNAcentral describes it as "partial 16S ribosomal RNA". It matches the Rfam family "Bacterial small subunit ribosomal RNA", at positions 524 to 776 of the family's 1533-position model. The record is from RNAcentral.